RNAcentral lists this ribosomal RNA (492 nucleotides) under uncultured bacterium. RNAcentral's name for it is "partial 16S ribosomal RNA". It matches the Rfam family "Bacterial small subunit ribosomal RNA", at positions 29 to 507 of the family's 1533-position model. The record is from RNAcentral.
AGUGAACGCUGGCGGUAGGCCUAACACAUGCCAGUCGAACGGCAGCACAGUAAGAGCUUGCUCUUACGGGUGGCGAGUGGCGGACGGGUGAGGAAUACAUCGGAAUCUACUUUUUCGUGGGGGAUAACGUAGGGAAACUUACGCUAAUACCGCAUACGACCUACGGGUGAAAGCAGGGGAUCUUCGGACCUUGCGCGAUUGAAUGCGCCGAUGUCGGAUUAGCUAGUUGGCGGGGUAAAGGCCCACCAAGGCGACGAUCCGUAGCUGGUCUGAGAGGAUGAUCAGCCACACUGGAACUGAGACACGGUCCAGACUCCUACGGGAGGCAGCAGUGGGGAAUAUUGGACAAUGGGCGCAAGCCUGAUCCAGCCAUACCGCGUGGGUGAAGAAGGCCUUCGGGUUGUAAAGCCCUUUUGUUGGGAAAGAAAAGCAGCAGGUUAAUACCCCGCUGUUCUGACGGUACCCAAAGAAUAAGCACCGGCUAACGUCGUG